This is a long non-coding RNA of Sceloporus undulatus (fence lizard), 484 nucleotides long. RefSeq lists it as uncharacterized. The transcript has 3 exons. Lineage: Eukaryota; Metazoa; Chordata; Lepidosauria; Squamata; Phrynosomatidae. The record is from RefSeq and is a predicted model, not a curated record.
AUGGAAUGGAAAAAUGAGAAGCAUUUCCAAUGAACAUCUCCAACAUUUUGGGAUUACUUCUGUUUAAAAAGGAUAAAGAAAUCUACUGUAAAACAGAAACAUAAUUAAGAAAGCAAUCAGCUCCUAAGAAAAAGUCUGGAGUAAUAUUAGAUUACCAACAUAUUUCUUCAAAACUGGAGCAUCCAGCAUCAUAAAUGAAUGUUCCCAUCCUGGAGGGACUCAAGUUAAUAAAAUGAGUUUAAGCAAUAUAUGUGAGUAUCAAAAAGCCCAGAGCAAGGCAAGGAACCGAACAGAAGACUGUUCCAAAAAGAGGAGAAUGAGAAACAUAACCAGAGAUGAACCUCAUAAACCUGCGUCUGAAGAGGUAGGCUCAACUCUACGAAUAUUCAUGGUACCGACUUCUAUCUUUCAGUUAGUCUCAAAGGUACUGCAAUAUCCCUUUGCAUUCAGAAACCUGGAAGAUCUUUAUGAUGUGUCCAUUGCU